GGUCACAUCACGUUGAAGGGCCAGUUCUCGUACGAUCACCGAAGUUAAGCAACGUCGAGCCUAGUCAGUACCUAGAUGAGUGACCGCUUGGUAAUACUAGGUGCUAUA
Non-coding RNA from Acanthosepion pharaonis, 108 nucleotides. NCBI's taxonomy places the organism in Eukaryota, Metazoa, Mollusca, Cephalopoda, Sepiida, Sepiidae. The record is from the annotation of a GenBank genome assembly.